CGAACGCUGGCGGCGUGCUUAACACAUGCAAGUCGAACGCGAAAGGGACUUCGGUCCUGAGUAAAGUGGCGCACGGGUGAGUAACGCGUAGAUAACCUGUCUUUAUGUCUGGAAUAAUACGCCGAAAGGGGUACUAAUACCGGAUAUUUUUGCAUUGCAUAAGCAGUGUAAGCAAAGGUGGCCUCUGACAUAAGCUACUGCAUAAAGAGGGGUCUGCGUACCAUUAGCUAGUAGGUGGGGUAAAGGCCUACCUAGGCUACGAUGGUUAGCGGGUCUGAGAGGAUGAUCCGCCACACUGGCACUGGAACACGGGCCAGACUCCUACGGGAGGCAGCAGUGAGGAAUAUUGCGCAAUGGGGGCAACCCUGACGCAGCGACGCCGCGUGAGUGAGGAAGGCCUUCGGGUCGUAAAGCUCUGUCAAAGGGAAAGAAGUGCAUGGUGGUUAAUACCUGCCAUGUUUGACGGUACCCUUAAAGGAAGCACCGGCUAACUCCGUGCCAGCAGCCGC
This 509-nucleotide ribosomal RNA is filed under the name uncultured bacterium. RNAcentral's name for it is "bacterial SSU rRNA". It matches the Rfam family "Bacterial small subunit ribosomal RNA", at positions 30 to 518 of the family's 1533-position model. The record is from RNAcentral.